UGGGGAAUAUUGCACAAUGGGCGCAAGCCUGAUGCAGCCAUGCCGCGUGUGUGAAGAAGGCCUUCGGGUUGUAAAGCACUUUCAGCGGGGAGGAAGGCGUUAAGGUUAAUAAUCUUGGCGAUGGACGUUACCUGCAGAAGAAGCACCGGCUAACUCCGUGCCAGCAGCCGCGGUAAUACGGAGGGUGCAAGCGUUAAUCGGAAUUACUGGGCGUAAAGCGUACGCAGGCGGUCUGUCAAGUCGGAUGUGAAAUCCCCGGGCUCAACCUGGGAACUGCAUUCGAAACUGGCAGGCUAGAGUCUUGUAGAGGGGGGUAGAAUUCCAGGUGUAGCGGUGAAAUGAGUAGAGAUCUGGAGGAAUAACGGUGGGGAAGGAGGCCCCCUAGACAAAGGCUGACGCUCAGGUGCGAAAGCGUGGGGAGCAAACAGG
Molecule: ribosomal RNA, 429 nt
Filed under: Chloroflexota bacterium
Lineage: Bacteria; Bacillati; Chloroflexota
Description: Chloroflexi bacterium partial 16S ribosomal RNA
Rfam family: Bacterial small subunit ribosomal RNA
Source: RNAcentral